Molecule: ribosomal RNA, 584 nt
Filed under: uncultured bacterium
Lineage: Bacteria
Description: bacterial SSU rRNA
Rfam family: Bacterial small subunit ribosomal RNA
Source: RNAcentral
GGGAAAGAUUUAUCGCUCGAGGAGGGGCCCGCGUCGGAUUAGCUAGUUGGUGGGGUAACGGCCUACCAAGGCGGUGAUCCGUAGCUGGUCUGAGAGGAUGAUCAGCCACACUGGGACUGAGACACGGCCCAGACUCCUACGGGAGGCAGCAGUAGGGAAUAUUGGACAAUGGGGGCAACCCUGAUCCAGCAAUGCCGCGUGAGUGAUGAAGGCCUUAGGGUUGUAAAGCUCUUUCGCGCGCGACGAUUAUGACGGUAGCGCGAGAAGAAGCCCCGGCUAACUUCGUGCCAGCAGCCGCGGUAAUACGAAGGGGGCGAGCGUUGUUCGGAAUUACUGGGCGUAAAGGGCGCGCAGGCGGCUCUUCAAGUCAGGCGUGAAAGCCCCGGGCUUAACCUGGGAAUUGCGCUUGGGACUGGAGGGCUAGAGUACGGGAGAGGAGAGUGGAAUUCCCAGUGUAGAGGUGAAAUUCGUACAUGUUGUGAAGAACACCGGUGGCGAAAGCGGCUCUAUAGACCGUAACUGACGCUCAGGCCCGAAAGCGUGGGGAGCAUACAGGAUUAGAUACCCUGGUAGUCCACGCUGUA